This 123-nucleotide small nucleolar RNA is filed under the name Nannospalax galili (Upper Galilee mountains blind mole rat). RNAcentral describes it as "Small nucleolar RNA SNORA63 (ENSNGAG00000004570.1)". Lineage: Eukaryota; Metazoa; Chordata; Mammalia; Rodentia; Spalacidae. The record is from RNAcentral.
AUGUAGGUACAGUUACAAUACAACUCGUGUUUUACUGUCCUACCUCCUUCUUAAAGCACUUGAUACAUUACUAUCUCUGCCUAACUCUACCAUAGUAACACAGAGAUGCUUAGUUUCAAAUAU